RNAcentral lists this unclassified non-coding RNA (901 nucleotides) under Hevea brasiliensis (rubber tree). The record is from RNAcentral. Lineage: Eukaryota; Viridiplantae; Streptophyta; Magnoliopsida; Malpighiales; Euphorbiaceae.
AUUUUCCAUAUCUGAUCAGUACCUGCAAAAGUGUUUCAAAUGAACUUUAAGUAUGAUAGAACGUGCAAGUAAACUAUUUUGCAGCCACAAAAGGCAACAAGAAUACAUUCAUACAAAGCGUAGGGAAAACAAGAAAAUCAUGGGUAUUAAUGCUAACCCCUAUACUACUGAAAUAGGGCAUCAAUCAUUUAACUUUAUGUUUGGUAAUUCUUCAUGUAGUAGAACUUCAAAUUUCUGGAACUCUCUUGAUAGUUGAACAAAAUAUAAGAACUCUACCAUAAAGCAUUUAGGACAUUGUGAUCCACAAUCAAAAUUUCAUGCAGCUAAUCUUUUUUAAUGUAUGGGUUGACACAGGCAAAAAAGCUUCAUGGUAGCUGAAAAAGUAAGGAAAAGACAGCUGGUUGGCAACCAAAAGAAAAGGCUUUUAGAAUCAGGUGCUGUUGGAGUCGCAAACAUACAGCUACUGUUAUAUUAGAGUUACCAAACGGGUUGACCUAGCUGUUGGAGGUCAAAAAGCUAUAAGUUGGCUUCCAAAAGUUAAAUCAAACACCCUCUUAUAUUUGGUAAUGGCACUUACUAUUAGAUAAUGGUUGUUAUCCCAGCGAUUGUUUUAUGCCCAUGGCUCCAUUGCUAAUAGGCCUCAACAGGAAUGGCCCAUUCAUUUUCUAUUGUAUGACAGCCAAUACGUAAUGUAAUGGCUGUCAUUUAAGGCCAUGGUUCAAAGUAUUUUGAUAAACUUAAUGUCAAUCUCCUUGGUAUAAUAGCAAAAGCUCUAGCAGGAAAUGGCACUGAAAGCAAGUUUUAAUAGCAGAAAACAGAGAAAUUAAAUGGCAGAACGUAUGACAAGGAACAUUUAUUUUCACCAAUCAAGGGAGUUCCAGAUGAAACAUUCUCCAUGAGA